ACGGAGGGUGCAAGCGUUGUUCGGAAUUACUGGGCGUAAAGGGCGCGUAGGCGGCAAUGUAAGUCAGGGGUGAAAGCCUGCGGCUCAACCGCAGAACUGCCUUUGAUACUGGGACGCUUGAGUAUGGUAGAGGUUGGUGGAACUGCGAGUGUAGAGGUGAAAUUCGUAGAUAUUCGCAAGAACACCGGUGGCGAAGGCGGCCAACUGGACCAUUACUGACGCUGAGGCGCGAAAGCGUGGGGAGCAAACAG
RNAcentral lists this ribosomal RNA (251 nucleotides) under uncultured prokaryote. RNAcentral's name for it is "partial 16S rRNA". It matches the Rfam family "Bacterial small subunit ribosomal RNA", at positions 525 to 775 of the family's 1533-position model. The record is from RNAcentral.